UUGUUCCAACAAUAACUAGUGAAACAAAAGUUAUAAAUUAUAUCAUUUAUAAUAUACUAUUAUUUGCAUUUUUGUAAUUUUUUAUAAAAUUCUCUAUUUUUAAUUUUUUUAAAAUUUACAGUAGUACUAUGUAUACUUUUUCCAUUAAUUUUCCGUCACUCGGAUCUCUCUCUUUUUUUCAAUAAUAAAUAAAAUCAAAUAAAUAAGAAAUAAUGCAUUUAAUAAUUAUAUUAUCAUAUAGAAAGAAAUACAACGAAACCACCCAACUUUCCGACUUUUUUUGUACAUGUUCAUUUCUCCUUCUCCAUAAAGAAAGAAAAAAAUUUCCUCUCGAAAGCUUUUGGCAAUGGCAAACCAUCAAGUUGGUCGCUGGUGCCGAACCCCUACCCUAGAGAAGGGAAUCCCUGCUCAAAAGAAGGGCCGUAGACAAGACAAAGCAGCGGUGAAGAUGAUGAUGAUCACAGGUUGAUGUUGCAACAGCUCAAACGUUUUUCCAGCUUCGGUAUGGAUUCGAAGUCCUUGAGAAAGAUAAUCAAGAAUCAUGAAGUUAAGACUUUCAAACGCACUUUCUUUAGCAUAGAAUCCAAAUCUUAUAAUGAGGUUGUCUCUUCCAUUUCUCCAAUCACCCUCGCGACUUGUCUAAACCAACUGAAAAGCUUUCGUAUCCUCAACAAUUUACUAUUGUGAAUUGCUAGCACCAUGAAUCGAGAGGGAAACAGGGGAGGACUGGCGCUGGUUAUUAGAGGCAUUUGAGGGUCAUAGAGAUUGUUUAGUUAGGGCUUUGAGGAGACGUCAUCUUCCAUUUAUUAGAGCGGUAUGUUUUUCUUUCCUAAUGGCUAUUCAUCACCACAGUAGUAAGUAUAGGAUUCAUAUGGUUUUUGCAAACUUAAUGGCUGUUCAGAACUUAAUUAUUGUUUUUCCCUCUUUCUAAUUUUUUUGGUCUCUUAUGUUGUUUUUAAACUAAUGUUUCUAUCAUUGGGAUUUUGGGUAACUCGUUCUCUUUAUCGUUGUCUAUGUUUUGAGAAAUUCAAAAGGUGGUGGCGGUUUUAUCAAAUACAGUACGAAUUAGACCGAGUUUUUUUUUAUUUGUCACUAAUCGGAGUGUUAAUUGUUGAUGGAUCUGAUAUUGUGGUCCUUCGGGUUUCAUUGUUGUUUUUUUUUAUUAUUAUUGUGCUCUAUCUAUAUGACUAUUGCAGAUGGUGACGUUGGUGAUAUCAAAGGUCGCUUAUGUUCUGAUGCAUUUUUUGUUUUUUUCGCUAUCUCUGUUUGGCUGUUUUCAUUUGGGGAUUAUGGUUGUAGCAAUGGUUUGGUACUGCUCCUACGGUUAAUAUUUAUGUUUUGUGGUAGAUAUGGGUUUCUGAUCGGGCAUAUUUCUAUUUGAAAUUGUUUAUGAUUUUGGUUUGUUUAGCCUAUAAAACUAGGAGACGGGACAGAAGAGCGAAAGUAACAUUGUAUGGACUCACAAGUCACAGCAUGGGAACCCAUCUCCAGAUAUUGACUUUGAAUUUGAAAGUUUGCUCAAUUUUGAAAGCUUCCCAUCUGUAGAUUCCAAUUCUGGGAUUGGAAGGAUUACCAAAUCAAGAUGGAAAACUCAAACUAUUUCUUGGAAUUUGGAAGAGAUCUACAGACAUUAAGGACUUUUGUCUGUUCUUUUGCAUUAAAAAGUGGUAAAUAGACCAGGUUUCUUUUGUGUGAAGCAUUGUUAAAACAUAUAAAAGUAAAGCAGAAAAAGUAAAUAAUACAUGGUAGGACAAAUGUAUAUAUAUUUAUCAUUAAAUUAGACAAGUCUCCAGCUUUUCGCAUAUCUAAUAACUUAGUAUUUUUUCCCAAAUGCAAAGAACAACAUUUUAAUAGUCAUGAAUGAGCUGCUUUAAGGUAUUACAUGUAUGUCAUAAUGGACUCACUCUCCAAGUUUUUUUUGGGCCAAGCUCAAAAGGCCAAAAUAGUUAGCUCUCUUAUUUUGGUACUCAAUAUGUGUCUUCUCAUGUUUCUGUUAAAGGGCAAUAUAAUUUGGUUGAUUGAUGAGCUUAUUAAUUGUGUAUAAUAUCUAUGUUUUGCCAAAGUUUAGAAUUUCCAUAUUGCACCACUCAUAUGAGUCCCUCCAAGUCCUUUGCAUAUUCUAAAUCAUGUUAUGAACUUCUAAGUUACCAUUAUGUUUCAGAAGUCAUUACAUCAUAAAUUGAGCUAAGUAACAUGAUUAGUUGUAAUGACUUGGUGCAGGAUCUAAAUAGAUUUAUUGAUGAGAAGAGUGAAAGCAGAGGAGAAAAAAUUUAGCGGAUAAAAGAGGGAAGAAGGAAUAUGAACCUCUGCAAGCAAGUUGUCUAUGUCCACUUUGGCAUCGGUAUGGUUGUUGUUCAUCAAUUUCUCGUGUGAAAGCAAUAGAAUAUUUGUAUAACCGACAAAAAUUUUCAUGUUAUUGUCUUCCAUACUAGACCUUGAUGGACGUAUAAAGUUAGUGAAUAAGUGAAUUAGAUAGAUAGGAGUGGUACUUUCUAUCAACACUGGAUUAUAUGGCAAUAUUUGAAAGUAAUGAUCACCUAUGACUUGAGAAGAAGAAGCCAUAUAAAUAAUAAUUUGUGAGAUUGAAAUUAGAAACCAAGUAAAAGAAAGGACUUGAGUUUUCAAAGAAGGGAUGAUGAGAAUAUAGAAGAGGGCUUCUAAUUAGUAGAAUAGUGAGGAGUGAUGAUGGUCUAUAUAUAUUGUGGGUAGAUGGCUUGAAAUUUAUACCAACAAAAUUUAAAUUUAAAUUAUCAUAAAAAAAUCUGUUAAAAUAUCUAUUUGUUGCAAUUAGGAAACUAUAUAUAUAUUGAUUAGUAAUGACAAGAAAAUCUCCGAACUGCUUUCCUUAAUUAGAUGUGAAGAAUAAGUUUUGGUAAACAUUAAUUAAUCAUAUAUACAUGUGAAGAAUUUAAAAAUACUUUAAAGUAAUCAAAUUGAAGAUUUAAUUAUUUCAAUUAAUAAUUGGACAUUAUGAGAAAAUUACACCUCAUGCCCCUUCCGUAACUACCCUAAUUUUCAAAUAUUUGUUCCAACAAUAACUAGUGAAACAAAAGUUAUAAAUUAUAUCAUUUAUAAUAUACUAUUAUUUGCAUUUUUGUAAUUUUUUAUAAAAUUCUCUAUUUUUAAUUUUUUUUAAAUUUACAGUAGUACUAUGUAUACUUUUUCCAUUAAUUUUCCGUCACUCGGAUCUCUCUCUUUUUUUCAAUAAUAAAUCAAAUCAAAUAAAUAAGAAAUAAUGCAUUUAAUAAUUAUAUUAUCAUAUAGAAAGAAAUACAAGGAAACCACCCAACUUUCCCACUUUUUUGUACAUGUUCAUUUCUCCUUCUCCAUAAAGAAAGAAAAAAAUUUCCUCUCGAAAGCUUUUGGCAAUGGCAAACCAUCAAGUUGGUCGCUGGUGCCGAACCCCUACUCUAGAGAAGGGAAUCCCUGCUCUAUAGAAGCAGAGUCUUCCACUGCUAGAACUCGAACAAGAAGCAGCGAUGAAGAUAAUGAUGAUCACAGGAUCUAAAUAGAUUUAUUGAUGAGAAGAGUGAAAGCAGAGGAGAAAAAAUUUAGAGGGGAAUUCCUCCGCUCGUGCUUCUUCAACUGGUUGAGACUGGCGAUUUGUGGUGGACUUUUUCGGAGGUAUGAAUACAGAAGACGCCGCCAUUUCCCCCUAGUUUUCUUAUUCGUUUUUACUUUCGCUUUCUUUAGUCUCUUUGAUCAGUCAUCAGAUCUGUUUAAUCAUCCAUUUUUAGUUCGAUUGAUCUCAAGUUGAAUCUGAUUUGAGUUCCCUGCGAUCUGAUCCUCGUUUUUUUAUCUUAAUUUUGAAACGAAGUUUUCGAAAUAGGGGAGUCCAGGGUUGUGUUUGUUAGCCGAGAAAACGGUGGAAAAGAAAUUAGGGUUCUAUGCACUUUUGCUAGUUUCGUUGGAAUGGAAAUCGAAUAUGAUAUUUUUUUGAUGUGUUAUAAUUAUAAGAAAAUGGAAAUCGAUAAUUCUGUAAAGAUUAGAGAAAGAGAACAUACGGCCACUUCGGAUCCAAGAAGAAGAAGGUAAGAAGAAAGCAAGAGAAAGAAGCGAGUGUUAUUGGAAGUUCAAUACAAGAAUAGUCAGAAGAAAAACGUAAAUCCGAGCCUAUUUUGCGUUGAUUUUUCUCUUAGAUUCUGAGUACCAAAUUCAUGUCAAAUGGUUUUGUUAUGUUCAUAGCGUUGUGGACUAAGUUGAGGAGAAGAAGGAACCACCAAGAACCGGCCACAGUAAGAGGUACAAAUUCAUAGAUUUCCUUCGUAGUUUAUGAUUCCGAUUUUUUGUUUUCAUUUCUUAGGGUGGCAAUGAAUUUGUGGGGCGUUUUAUACAGUUUUAAUCUGUGUUUAGGGACUAGAAACUUUCACUAAGGGGUUGUGAAUGGUUCAAUAUGAUAAGGCUUGAAUUUUGGGGUGUUUUGGUGAUGGGUGAUGAAUGGUAGAGGCGGAUACGGAAGUUGUAAAGAAGUUUUUUAGUUAAGGUUGGAGUAUCAUUGGUGCAGAAAUCUAAUAGUGAAGUGUGUCAUCCAUUUUUAUUCAACAUGUAUGAUUUUAUAGGGUGUCUUUCAUUUGAUUUGUUUUGUUUUUUCAAUAUAUAUAUAUAUAUAUAUGCGCAAAAGAUUCUCUCUAAUGGGCGUGCAAUGCAAUGUUCAAGCCUGA
This is a long non-coding RNA of Humulus lupulus (European hop), 4661 nucleotides long. RefSeq lists it as uncharacterized. The record is from RefSeq and is a predicted model, not a curated record. Lineage: Eukaryota; Viridiplantae; Streptophyta; Magnoliopsida; Rosales; Cannabaceae. The transcript has 5 exons.